CCGACUCCGGCCAGAGCUACAUCUCCGCCGUCUACAGCGACAGCGUGGCCGCGCGCGACGGCCGUCUGCGCCCCGGCGACGUCAUACUGCAGGUGAACGAUGAAAAUGUGACAUCAAUGAAGACACCAGAAGUGAUAGAUUUACUGAGAAUACUCCGAGGCUCGAUCUGCAUCACCGUGCUGCGGCCGCCCGCUACAUGAACCGCCUUCAAGGAAAAAAUAACAAACGGACAAAUAUCAUAAAAAUUAUACUCACAUACAUAAAAUGAUUAUUCUAAUUUGCACUAAAAGCACUAAAAUAUUGCUUGUGCAAAGCCCUUAGGGAAUUAUAUUUUAACACAUAUAACUAUUUUAAAACGAGAUUAUUUAUAAAGACAACAUAGCUUCCUUAUACUCAAAAAAAAAAACAUAAUAGGAAUUAUAAUAUAAAGUAUUGUAAUAUUCAAACUUUAUGGAGGCUCGCGAUUGUUACUUUCCAUAUCUAAAAUUGUAUUUUACGCAGUAUUUCGAGCCGAGCUGCCAUAAAGUUUGAAUGGCACAAUACAAUAUCCGCAUGAUAUAGAAAUUAAGACAAUCAUUGGUAAGAAAACACCCGCACAAAUGAUAUAUCUGACACGUAAAUAAAAAAAUAAUGUAUUAAAAUAAGCAAUUAAUUGUGUUAUCGACUUGUAACCAUCCUAAAUAUAUUAUUGUAAACUUUUAACUUGCCACAAUAUAUUAAAAGUUCCUAUUCAAACUCUCAUAUCUGUGUCUUUUUUUAAUGACAUCACAAAAGUUGAUUUACAAUUUAAUAUAUUGUGGAAUUGAUCUCUACAAGAGUCUCGUAAAAAAGAAUUUAAUAUUGAAAAUUCGUAUAAAAGUUAGCAUUAGCUAGAAUAAAAAUAAUUACGGUAAAGUUAUAUUUCUUUGGUCAAACUCGACCUAAAACAUUGAAGAAAUGCAUGACAUUAAAAGCGUUUAGAAUUCGAAUAAAUUAGAUUUUUAAAAACAUUUAUGUCAUUUUAUCCUUAUUGGAAGAUUUAAUUUGAGUUUGAUGUCUGUAAUAAAUUAAAAUAUGAGAAUUAAUAGGUCGAUAUCGCAAACUGUAGUUAUAGCAUUCCAUGCUUUAAUCUUUGUAGUUAAUAAAAAAACAAUUUAUUUGCAAAUUUAGUAUAACAAUGCAAAUUAAAUAAAUAUAACAUCUAAAAUUUUUAUCUAAGAAAAUCGUCGUAAAGUUGCACAUUGUAUAUUAUUAUAUGGCCUGAAAGAUAAUAUUAUGGAAGAAUUUUCUAUGAUAGAUUUAUUAAUAAUUAAAAGACUUUAUUGCAACAUAUAGUACGUUAAUUUGGUAAUAUCACACUCAUAUAAAAUCUAAAUAAAUAUACAUUUGUUUGUGUGCAUGUUAUUAAAAUUUAUUUUCAAUACACGUCAACAGUUUUGUGCAUGUAACUUAAGGUUUUAAAAAUUAAUUUACUUAGUGACUUUUUAUUUACCAUCAUAUAAUAAUAAUCAUUAACAUUUACAUGUUUACGCCAUAUAUUAAUGCAAUAAAUAAGAUCUUAUAUAAUAAACAUUUAGCAUACUUUCCUGUAGCUACUAAAUAUAUAAUCUAGUCAAAUCGGAAAUAAAUUUGAUCAUUUCGUUUCGUAAUUUAAUAUAAAUAUAAGAAUAAAUACAGCUAUAAUUAUAUAAUAAAUAAUUAUUUCUACUUUGGUUGCUAAAUAUGUAAUGUUAACAACUGAAAGAUUUUAUCAACAAAUCAAGUCGAAAAUAUAUUUUAAUAAAGAAUUUAAGAUAAGAUACAGUAGGUUUAAAGUAAUCAGAACGAAUCAAAAUCAACUGAUAUUCUAAAAUUAUUGUGAUGGAUUUGUGUUAGUAGAUAUUUACUGUAUUACAUACAUUAAUGUCUAAUGGAGUUAUAUGUAUUAGUGAAACGUAAUAUACAUAAUGAUUAGUGCAAAUAAUAUAUUAAGAGAGCGGUGCGGAGCCGCGUGACGUCAUCUACUUCGUGCUCACAAAUUUUGUUAAAUAUAAAAAUGAAAAUUUA
Molecule: long non-coding RNA, 2025 nt
Organism: Papilio polytes (common Mormon)
Lineage: Eukaryota; Metazoa; Arthropoda; Insecta; Lepidoptera; Papilionidae
Exons: 2
Source: RefSeq, a predicted model, not a curated record